UACGGGGGGGGCAAGCGUUGUUCGGAUUUACUGGGCGCAAAGCGCGCGUAGGCGGGUCACUAAGUCAGGGGUGAAAUCCCGAGGCUUAACCUCGGAACUGCCUUUGAUACUGGUGACCUGGAGAUCGGGAGAGGUUGGUGGAAUUCCGAGUGUAGAGGUGAAAUUCGUAGAUAUUCGGAGGAACACCAGAAGCGAAGGCGGCCAACUGGCCCGAUACUGACGCUGAGGCGCGAAAGCGUGGGGAGCAAACAGG
Molecule: ribosomal RNA, 253 nt
Filed under: uncultured bacterium
Lineage: Bacteria
Description: partial 16S ribosomal RNA
Rfam family: Bacterial small subunit ribosomal RNA
Source: RNAcentral